AUGGUGCGGCUUAGGUCAACUAAUACGAAUAAGAUACAGUUCACUCAACGAUUGCCCUUGGGUCCCGAACUCCAUAUGGGGAAGGAACGUUGUUGUUUGCGAGGUCUCGAUCAUUUACAUGGACCCACUUCUCAUUCCAUUUGUGGGAAUUUGAUGAUUUAUAAACCGUCCCCAACGAGCGAAAGGUUCAUGUUUGAACAUGAUGAAUCACUUCGUGCCGACCUGUUGCCCAUAAACUUUCCUGCCUCAUAUGAGAAUGGAAAACUGGAAGAUUUUCUGCAUCGGUGGAUGAAGAAUCACGAACAUAAGAAUUUCUGGUUUAGCAUGUUCCCAGAAAGAAGAUACUUUUUUUCCAUUCGAGAAACGAGGAGCACGACUGAAGUGGCUAUACAUACAAAUCCAUUUACGGAUCUAUAUGCUCCGAUUGGAACUGGAAGUUCCAGAACUGGCGGCUGGAUA
RNAcentral lists this ribosomal RNA (459 nucleotides) under Triticum aestivum (bread wheat). RNAcentral describes it as "partial small subunit ribosomal RNA". The record is from RNAcentral. Lineage: Eukaryota; Viridiplantae; Streptophyta; Magnoliopsida; Poales; Poaceae.